Trachemys scripta elegans is the source of this 1405-nucleotide long non-coding RNA. RefSeq lists it as uncharacterized. The record is from RefSeq and is a predicted model, not a curated record. The transcript is spliced from 4 exons. Lineage: Eukaryota; Metazoa; Chordata; Testudines; Emydidae.
AAAAUUACAGAAAUCCUCGGGCAUCUACUCUAGCUCCUGAUCGCUCUCUCUCGAGACAGAAAAUGAAUCCAGAGUCCCUGUUCAAAGCAUCCUGGUAUUAUAAUUGUGGGCAAUGGCCUAUGGCAAUCUGGUGUCUGGGGAAUGCAAAGAAAGACUUCGAAAUCUUCCAGAAAAAAGACCUCUUACUGCAAGAUCCAGAUGUGGAUCCUCAAUCCCAUGGAGGGGCUUCCACAAGGAUCUGGGGAAUAAUGGAACAGAGUUGAUAGAGGUCCAAAGGAUUUUCAUCUCCCCAGCCCACAAAGUCAGAGGGGAUGGCAGACAUGUGAGCAAGGACUUCAAGGUGUGACUUUUUCCUGGUGACAUAGCAGAUGAAAGGGCUGCAGACUUGGAUUGAAAUAUAAUUUUAAAAGGGAUGUCUCUCUCCAGAGACAAAGAGGAAGAGUUUUAUGCAGAAUGGCUUCCCUCCUGCCCAGAUACCAUGCAAGAAGAUUCAGAGAAGAUUUCAUUAUAUCUCACCAUGGACUAACUUACAGAACUCUUAACUCCCCUGUAUAUAAUUUUGGAGAAUCCACAGGACCCAUAUGGACUGAAACACUGGACCCCUUUGGUUUAGUUUUGUUUAAAACCCAGAGAGGUAAAAAUGUAACAUCCUUUGUGUUAAUGUAUCACAUUGCUGCUGACUGAAUAUGCAUGGAGUAACCAAUAAAUUACCUAUUUUAAAAAAUAAUCAAUAUCAUCUUUAGAAAAAUUGGCUGAUAGGGGUACAAAACCAGCUGUACUGAAUAGUGCAGUUCAGUAUCAAGUUCUCAGACAGCAUUUUUUUUAUUUUUGGGGGAGGUAUAAGAAUGUUAAAUAUGGCUAUUCCUCUGAUAGCCCAUCAUUAGUUCACCAGACACAAGUUUAGAUUCCAUUUCAGAGCAGUUGAUGCAUUCACAGGCACAGAAGUCAUCACAACACAGUAUCUGAGAGCAGAAUGAACCGAACAGACUUUGGCUAGUGGUCAGAACUUGUAUCUUGGAAUGCACUGUAUAAGUCAAAAUGUUCCAAUGACACUUCAUUAGGAACACUGCCUAGAAGGAUUUUUUUUUAAUCGCUUGUGGUAGGGCCAGGCAUGGUCCAAGCAGCUGGAGUCCCCAACUGAGCAGAGAAACCUUCUCUGAACUUUCAGGUUUCUUUUAUAGCUUUUUUUUCUAGUGUAACUGAAGUAAACCCCAGGAUACCCAUGCCACUGUCUGAAAUGAAAAAUGAAAACUCUGAAGAAAGAACUUGAAUAAUACUAGCUGAAGUUUUUACCUAGGGUUUGUAGCAUAUUGGAUUAAAUGAUUUCAUUGCAUAUUCCAUAGUACAGAAAUUAGAUAAGAGAAACAGUAAUAAUAAAAGUAUAACAGGGGAUAAGUUGUGCAUG